AACGAACGCUGGCGGCAGGCUUAACACAUGCAAGUCGAACGCACCUUUCGGGGUGAGUGGCAGACGGGUGAGUAACGCGUGGGAAUCUACCCUUCUCUACGGGAUAGCUCCGGGAAACUGGAAUUAAUACCGUAUGCGUCCUGAGGGAGAAAGAUUUAUCGGGGAAGGAUGAGCCCGCGUUGGAUUAGCUAGUUGGUGGGGUAAAGGCCUACCAAGGCGACGAUCCAUAGCUGGUCUAAGAGGAUGAUCAGCCACAUUGGGACUGAGACACGGCCCAAACUCCUACGGGAGGCAGCAGUGGGGAAUAUUGGACAAUGGGCGCAAGCCUGAUCCAGCCAUGCCGCGUGAGUGAUGAAGGUCCUAGGGUUGUAAAGCUCUUUCAGUGGGGACGAUAAUGACGGUACCCACAGAAGAAGCCCCGGCUAACUUCGUG
Molecule: ribosomal RNA, 433 nt
Filed under: uncultured bacterium
Lineage: Bacteria
Description: partial 16S ribosomal RNA
Rfam family: Bacterial small subunit ribosomal RNA
Source: RNAcentral